UUUGCGUGGUCCUUUGAAUUCUGCCAGGUAGCCCUGCUCCGGCGUCCAUGAAGGGGCCAGGACAGUGUCCGCCAGGAGGGGCUGUGCUCCCAGACAGGAAGCAGGAGAGGUUGCAGCCCUGUUCUGACCCUGCCAUUCCGCCCUCUCCUCACCCCUGCCCCACAGGGACUGCAUCGCCCUCUGCUUCCUCAACAGCGGCACCAGCUUUGUGGCCGGCUUUGCCAUCUUCUCCAUCCUGGGCUUCAUGUCUCAGGAGCAGGGGGUGCCCAUUUCUGAGGUGGCCGAGUCAGGCCCUGGCCUGGCUUUCAUCGCUUACCCGCGGGCUGUGGUGAUGCUGCCCUUCUCUCCUCUCUGGGCCUGCUGUUUCUUCUUCAUGGUCGUUCUCCUGGGACUGGAUAGCCAGAAAGCCUGGUGACAGCGCUGGUGGACAUGUACCCUCACGUGUUCCGCAAGAAGAACCGGAGGGAAGCCCUCAUCCUUGGAGUAUCUGUCGU
This 494-nucleotide small RNA is filed under the name Pan troglodytes (chimpanzee). RNAcentral's name for it is "retained intron". The record is from RNAcentral. Lineage: Eukaryota; Metazoa; Chordata; Mammalia; Primates; Hominidae.